This 494-nucleotide ribosomal RNA is filed under the name uncultured bacterium. Its description in RNAcentral is "partial 16S ribosomal RNA". It matches the Rfam family "Bacterial small subunit ribosomal RNA", at positions 30 to 507 of the family's 1533-position model. The record is from RNAcentral.
AUUGAACGCUGGCGGCAUGCUUUACACAUGCAAGUCGAACGGCAGCGGGGAGGAGCUUGCUUCUCUGCCGGCGAGUGGCGAACGGGUGAGUAAUACAUCGGAACGUGUCGAGAAGAGGGGGAUAACCACCCGAAAGGGUGGCUAAUACCGCAUAAAUUCUGAGGAAGAAAGCUGGGGACCUAGGAAUAGGCCUAGCGCUUUUUGAGCGGCCGAUGUCGGAUUAGCUAGUUGGUGAGGUAAAGGCUCACCAAGGCGAAGAUCUGUAGCGGGUCUGAGAGGAGGAUCCGCCACACUGGGACUGAGACACGGCCCAGACUCCUACGGGAGGCAGCAGUGGGGAAUUUUGGACAAUGGGGGCAACCCUAAUCCAGCCAAGCCGCGUGUAUGAAGAAGGCCUUAGGGUUGUAAAGUACUUUUGUUAGGGAAGAAGAGUCAGCUGUGAAUAAUGGCUGAUACUGACGGUACCUAAAGAAUAAGCACCGGCUAACUCCGUG